AUCCCAUGAUGAGGACACUUCUGAAGUAACUCCUUGAAUCGCUCCCAAUCCUCAUACAAAGACUCGUCAUCCAAUUGUUGGAAAGUUGUGAUCUUGUUCCUUAACUU
This is a non-coding RNA of Gossypium hirsutum (cotton), 107 nucleotides long. NCBI's taxonomy places the organism in Eukaryota, Viridiplantae, Streptophyta, Magnoliopsida, Malvales, Malvaceae. The record is from Rfam.